Molecule: long non-coding RNA, 276 nt
Filed under: Sorghum bicolor (sorghum)
Lineage: Eukaryota; Viridiplantae; Streptophyta; Magnoliopsida; Poales; Poaceae
Description: long non-coding RNA (SBIC_LNC012282)
Source: RNAcentral
CCCUCAUGUUCGCCUCGGAGAAUUCUCCUUCGGCGUCGAAGGAUCCUCCCGACUCCACGAACAGCGCUAGCGCGUAGCUGCUCAUUCCCUAAGCGCUACUCUUGAUAGAGGUAGUUUGUGAAGAUGUAAACUUGGAAAGCACUAAUGGCUAUGGCUUAGAGAGGGGUUAGGGGGUGUUUAAAUAGGAAGAAGGCCCUCCCUGGCGAGAUCAUGAGCGGCAAAUUUGAAUUUGCAUACAGAUAAGGAUAGGGAUGGCGAAGAGAUAGACGAUGGAAA